This 253-nucleotide ribosomal RNA is filed under the name uncultured bacterium. RNAcentral's name for it is "partial 16S ribosomal RNA". It matches the Rfam family "Bacterial small subunit ribosomal RNA", at positions 524 to 776 of the family's 1533-position model. The record is from RNAcentral.
UACGGAGGUUGCAAGCGUUAUCCGGAUUUAUUGGGUUUAAAGGGUGCGUAGGCGGGAUUAUAAGUCAGUGGUGAAAACCUGCAGCUUAACUGUAGAACUGCCAUUGAUACUGUAAUUCUUGAGUAUAGUUGAGGUGGGCGGAAUGUGUAAUGUAGCGGUGAAAUGCUUAGAUAUUACACAGAACACCAAUUGCGUAGGCAGCUCACUAAACUACAACUGACGCUGAGGCACGAAAGCGUGGGGAGCAAACAGG